UACGUAGGGGGCAAGCGUUGUCCGGAUUUAUUGGGCGUAAAGAGCGUGUAGGCGGCUUUUCAAGUCGGUUGUGAAAUCCCCGGGCUUAACCUGGGAACUGCAGUCGAGACUGUCUAGCUAGAGUAUGGGAGAGGGAAGUGGAAUUUCAGGUGUAGCGGUGAAAUGCGUAGAUAUCUGAAGGAACAUCAGUGGCGAAAGCGACUUCCUGGACCAAUACUGACGCUCAUGUGCGAAAGCGUGGGGAGCAAACAGG
Molecule: ribosomal RNA, 253 nt
Filed under: uncultured bacterium
Lineage: Bacteria
Description: partial 16S ribosomal RNA
Rfam family: Bacterial small subunit ribosomal RNA
Source: RNAcentral